Long non-coding RNA from Nicotiana attenuata, 667 nucleotides. RefSeq lists it as uncharacterized. Lineage: Eukaryota; Viridiplantae; Streptophyta; Magnoliopsida; Solanales; Solanaceae. The record is from RefSeq and is a predicted model, not a curated record. The transcript has 2 exons.
GUUUUAAGUGAACAAAAACUGAAUUGGAGAGGGGUGGAAAUGAAUUUGAAAAAUCAGGUUUUGUUGCCCGAAAAAUCUGUUAUUAAAAGACUCUUUCUCACUCAUUUUGCUAGACCUAGAGAUGCACUAAGCCACAGCUGCUGAAAAUCCUAGGAUUCUAGAUCUGAACUCAAAAAUUUCAGGAGAAAAGCAACAACAACUGAGGUAAAAGGAGAUACAAAAGCUAUUUUCGAAUUCUAGCAUAUUCGAUUGAUUUUUUCUGGAAUUUCAAAGGACUUUCAAGCUAUUAGAAUUGCUGUUUUGCUGGAUUAGAAUCUGUUGCCUCUGCUUGCUGGAUUUGAUAUCAUCUCUUUUUCAUUUUUCUUCCUUAACUGAUUCUUCUCAAAGCCUUUAUUUGGCUGUGUGAGAUUGCUGCUUCCUUUAGGGCAGCCCAGUGGCUAUCCCCUUGUAAGUUAGGUGUUUGAUUCAAAGGAAGGAGAGCCAUGCAACUAAAGUUAGAUUCUGUCAUGAAAUUUCAAACAAGGAAAGCGUAGAUUUAAGAUUACAUUAGUGAAAUAUGUAACUCAUGCCAUGAUUAGUCGAUUGUGUGAUUUAAACUGCCAUUUUUCUCUGUAUUUAAUUAAGUUGUAAAUUGAGAAUUAUGUUUGCAAUGGUUUAUUUUCCUGUA